GACGAACGCUGGCGGCGUGCUUAACACAUGCAAGUCGAACGGAAAGGCCCUGCUUUUGUGGGGUGCUCGAGUGGCGAACGGGUGAGUAACACGUGAGUAACCUGCCCUUGACUUUGGGAUAACUUCAGGAAACUGGGGCUAAUACCGGAUAGGAGCUCCUGCUGCAUGGUGGGGGUUGGAAAGUUUCGGCGGUUGGGGAUGGACUCGCGGCUUAUCAGCUUGUUGGUGGGGUAGUGGCUUACCAAGGCUUUGACGGGUAGCCGGCCUGGGAGGGUGACCGGGCACAAUGGUACUGAGGGACGGCCCAGACGCCUACGGGAGGCAGCAGUGGAGAAUAUUGCACAGUGGGCGGAAGCCUGAUGCAGCGACGCCGCGUGCGGGAUGACGGCCUUCGGGGUGUAAACCGCUUUAGCCUGUGACGAAGCGGGAGUGACGGUAAUGGGUAAAGAAGCACCGGCUAACUACGUG
RNAcentral lists this ribosomal RNA (468 nucleotides) under uncultured bacterium. RNAcentral's name for it is "partial 16S ribosomal RNA". It matches the Rfam family "Bacterial small subunit ribosomal RNA", at positions 28 to 507 of the family's 1533-position model. The record is from RNAcentral.